RNAcentral lists this ribosomal RNA (497 nucleotides) under uncultured bacterium. Its description in RNAcentral is "partial 16S ribosomal RNA". It matches the Rfam family "Bacterial small subunit ribosomal RNA", at positions 28 to 507 of the family's 1533-position model. The record is from RNAcentral.
GAUGAACGCUGGCGGCGUGCCUAAUACAUGCAAGUCGAGCGAACAGACGAGGAGCUUGCUCCUCUGACGUUAGCGGCGGACGGGUGAGUAACACGUGGAUAACCUACCUACAAGACUGGGAUAACUUCGGGAAACCGGAGCUAAUACCGGAUAAUAUAUUGAACCGCAUGGUUCAAUAGUGAAAGACGGUUUUGCUGUCUCUUAUAGAUGGAUCCGCGCCGCAUUAGCUAGUUGGUAAGGUAACGGCUUACCAAGGCAACGAUGCGUAGCCGACCUGAGAGGGUGAUAGGCCACACUGGAACUGAGACACGGUCCAGACUCCUACGGGAGGCAGCAGUAGGGAAUCUUCCGCAAUGGGCGAAAGCUUGACGGAGCAACGCCGCGUGAGUGAUGAAGGUCUUCGGAUCGUAAAACUCUGUUAUUAGGGAAGAACAAAUGUGUAAGUAACUAUGCACGUCUUGACGGUACCUAAUCAGAAAGCCACGGCUAACUACGUG